UACGGAGGAUGCGAGCGUUAUCCGGAUUUAUUGGGUUUAAAGGGUGCGUAGGCGGACUGUCAAGUCAGCGGUAAAAUUGAGAGGCUCAACCUCUUCCCGCUGUUGAAACUGGUGGUCUUGAGUGGAUGAGAAGUACGCGGAAUGCGUGGUGUAGCGGUGAAAUGCAUAGAUAUCACGCAGAACUCCGAUUGCGAAGGCAGCGUACCGGCAUCCAACUGACGCUGAGGCACGAAAGCGUGGGGAUCAAACAGG
RNAcentral lists this ribosomal RNA (252 nucleotides) under uncultured bacterium. RNAcentral's name for it is "partial 16S ribosomal RNA". It matches the Rfam family "Bacterial small subunit ribosomal RNA", at positions 524 to 776 of the family's 1533-position model. The record is from RNAcentral.